UCACAUUAUUUGAAAGCAGCCUCUAUUAAGUAGACUCUUUCAAGUAGGAGUUAGAAAACCAGUAGUUGAAACAAACAAGGGGUUUAAACUAUCAAGGUAACUGUUUUUAUUUUACUGUUUAAAGGGGAAAUGAGUGUUAGCAAGAUUGCUGGUUUAACUCAAUGCACAUCUUGUUGCAUGUAUGGAUGCCUGGAUGUACCCAUCCAGGGUCCAUACCUCUGUGAUGGUUGUGUGCGAGUGGCUUCUCUGGAAGCUCAGAUUGGAGAUCUUGAGAAGCAAAUCGCAACAUUGAGGGAGAUUGAUAAUCUUGAG
Pelobates cultripes (western spadefoot toad) is the source of this 312-nucleotide non-coding RNA. NCBI's taxonomy places the organism in Eukaryota, Metazoa, Chordata, Amphibia, Anura, Pelobatidae. The record is from the annotation of a GenBank genome assembly.